GACUCAGUGGUCCAAUGGUAAAGCGUUCGCCGUGAAACCAGAGGAUCCUGGGUUCGACCCUCGACAGGGUCG
This 72-nucleotide transfer RNA is filed under the name Schistosoma japonicum. RNAcentral's name for it is "tRNA-Ser". Lineage: Eukaryota; Metazoa; Platyhelminthes; Trematoda; Strigeidida; Schistosomatidae. The record is from RNAcentral.